GACACUUGCGAGUCCCUAGCAAAUACAGACUCUGAGUUGAAGAUUCACAUGUAGAAAGUUUACUGGAACUUUAGGAUCAACAGUUUCAACAUCUGUCUGGUUAAAGGAAAACUGGGUAGAGGAGAAGUGGAGCACUGAUUCAGUUCUGACAAGUGCUUCUGAGGAGCCCAGAGUGAACCCUGGAUUUGAGGCUAGCAAUAUACAGUAUAGUACUCUCCUGAGAUACUGGGCAGUGGCUGUGAGCUGCAAUUUGUAAUCAGCAUCCAAUUGAUGGCACUGAGUUUGUUUAUUUAUGAAUUGAAAAUCACUACACACAUUCUUUUUGUAUUUUAUGGAAAAAAAGGUCUGUCCAACUUCAGUGCUGUGAGUGAUACUGAAUAUAAAGUAAAGAAAAAGGCCAGGAGCUCACUACAAAGUCCACUGUGAGUCUACAUCAGAAAGCCAGAAGGUCUGAACUGGAAGGCUGAAGAGUCUAUGCUACAAGGCUGGUGGUGGACGUCCAAAGGCAAUGGGAAAGACCAGAGCUCCUCCAAAGAAGAAGAGGAAGACUCCUUGUUUCCCUUUUAUUCAAUCUAGGUUACCAGCCUAUUAGUUGGUGCAACCCACAGCCAGGGUGGGUUUUCCCUCUUUAGGUUGCAGCCUACCUGUCAGUCAUCUACAGACAUCCCUAAACUUCAUUGAUCUGCUAGGCAGUUCUCGCUCAAGUCAAGUUGACAUAUCACAAUUCACAAUUACAUACUCCUAAUGUGAUUUCUUAGUUUUGUCAUUGACAUCAAAAUCACACUCCCCAAAAGUAGUUAUUUCAUAGCCACUCUAACCCAUCAAACGUUCAUAACCAGAAUUAGUUUGACUUCCUAGUGAUUAUUUACUUUUU
This is a long non-coding RNA of Chinchilla lanigera (long-tailed chinchilla), 874 nucleotides long. RefSeq lists it as uncharacterized. The record is from RefSeq and is a predicted model, not a curated record. The transcript is spliced from 4 exons. NCBI's taxonomy places the organism in Eukaryota, Metazoa, Chordata, Mammalia, Rodentia, Chinchillidae.